Loxodonta africana (African savanna elephant) is the source of this 275-nucleotide long non-coding RNA. It matches the Rfam family "SOX2 overlapping transcript exon 3". From Rfam's summary of the family: SOX2 overlapping transcript (SOX2OT) is a long non-coding RNA, containing at least 5 exons. NCBI's taxonomy places the organism in Eukaryota, Metazoa, Chordata, Mammalia, Proboscidea, Elephantidae. The record is from Rfam.
UGGCAAAGCUAGGCUAGGUCUUGCAGGCUGGUGGAAGGCGUUGCGGGGAAGGCAGGAGGCUGAUGGAGAGACUGGGGCAAAGAAAAGCCGAAAUGGAUUCACGGUGUCUUGGAUGGAGGACGAGAAGGGAAUGGCAAGCUCCUUCAGCUCGUUCUGUCCGGUGAGAAGUGAUCAAGCUUGGGCUGACAGGAGGCUCAGGGAACCUUCACGUUCUUUCGCUUUUUUACCUGCCAAUCAAACUGCUACAAGACAACACCCUGAUCUGGCAUGGACGU